UUCCUUUCUUGGCCUUUUAGCCGAAAUCACGCGUAGUAUCCGUUCUUGUCAAUGUUAUGCCAGACGUAUCUUUAGUUUGAGGACUUGAUGUUAAAUGGGUGUGGGGAAUGGGAGGUCUCCUUGGAGCUUGCUCUGUGCCCUGACCUAGCAGUGCAGUGCCCCUGUGAACAGGACUGGGUGA
Molecule: small nuclear RNA, 181 nt
Filed under: Cariama cristata (Red-legged seriema)
Lineage: Eukaryota; Metazoa; Chordata; Aves; Cariamiformes; Cariamidae
Description: U2 spliceosomal RNA
Rfam family: U2 spliceosomal RNA
About the family: U2 is a small nuclear RNA (snRNA) component of the spliceosome (involved in pre-mRNA splicing).
Source: Rfam by way of RNAcentral